This is a regulatory RNA element of Weissella paramesenteroides ATCC 33313, 138 nucleotides long. It matches the Rfam family "PyrR binding site". From Rfam's summary of the family: This family represents the PyrR binding site and terminator structure. This RNA structure is found upstream of a variety of genes involved in pyrimidine biosynthesis and transport. The record is from Rfam. Lineage: Bacteria; Bacillati; Bacillota; Bacilli; Lactobacillales; Lactobacillaceae.
AAUACCUUUUAAUUGUAGUCCAGUGAGGCUAAUAAAGGUGACGUUAAUUGAUGAGUGGGGAACCUAGCAUGGGAUAACUGCAUCAACGAUUGAAUGAGCAAGCCUUAGGAAUCACUGGAUUCGUAAGGCUUUUUUUGU